Budorcas taxicolor (takin) is the source of this 104-nucleotide small nuclear RNA. The record is from RefSeq and is a predicted model, not a curated record. Lineage: Eukaryota; Metazoa; Chordata; Mammalia; Artiodactyla; Bovidae.
GUGCUCGCUUUGGCAACACAUAUACUACAAUUGGAAUAAUACAGAGAUUAGUGUGGUCCCUGCACAAGGAUGACACACAAGUUUGUGAAGCAUUCUAUAUAUUU